This 386-nucleotide long non-coding RNA is filed under the name Homo sapiens (human). RNAcentral's name for it is "HSALNT0351113". The record is from RNAcentral. Lineage: Eukaryota; Metazoa; Chordata; Mammalia; Primates; Hominidae.
UUCUGUGUAUUAGCAGGUUUAUUUUCAGAGUUAUAGAAGUCCUCAUGUAAAAGCUCUCAAGUUAUUAUAAUUUCAGGGACAAAUAUUAAGUACAUAAGAAAACCUCUCAGAUAUUAUAGGCUUUGAUUGCAGUGUGAAUGGCUGACUUGAAACUGACAUCAACUACUUCUUGGGGAAGACAGCUCAACACAAAAAGGAUGUUUGUGAUCUGGAACUGAAUCUUCAAUAUCUCCAAGCAGGUAGAGCAUGGUUAAAUAAUGAGCUAUUCCCAGGUGGCACAUCAGCAAGGGUUGCACACUCAAGAUGAGUUUGAUGCUGAUUUCCAUUAUAUUCCACAGACCUCAACACAGGUGGCCGUUCUUCCUCUUCCUAAGUCAGAAAAUUUG